This 420-nucleotide ribosomal RNA is filed under the name uncultured archaeon. RNAcentral describes it as "partial 16S ribosomal RNA". It matches the Rfam family "Archaeal small subunit ribosomal RNA", at positions 323 to 746 of the family's 1478-position model. The record is from RNAcentral.
CUACGAGCCGCAGCAGUCGAGGAAAUUUUACAAUGCUCGAAAGAGUGAUAAAAUGAGCCAGAGUGUUUUCUUUAAGAAAACUUUUAUCUGUUGUAAAAAGACAGAUGAAUAAGGACUGGGCAAGACCGGUGCCAGCCGCCGCGGUAAUCCCGGCGGUCCAAGUUGCAUCCACAUUUAUUGGGUCUAAAACAUUCGUAGCUUGUUUUGUAAGUCUCUUGUGAAAUUCCAUAUCUUAAGUAUGGAGCUUGCAAGAGAUACUAUAAAACUUGAGACCGGAAGACGUAAAGAGUAUGAUUAAGGUAGCGGUAAAAUGUGUUAAUCUUAAUCAGACUAACAAUUGCGAAGGCACUUUACGAGUACGGAUCUGACAGUGAGGAAUGAAGGCUAGGGGCGCAAAAGGGAUUAGAUACCCGAGUAGUC